RNAcentral lists this ribosomal RNA (255 nucleotides) under uncultured bacterium. RNAcentral describes it as "partial 16S ribosomal RNA". It matches the Rfam family "Bacterial small subunit ribosomal RNA", at positions 524 to 776 of the family's 1533-position model. The record is from RNAcentral.
UACGUAGGGUGCGAGCGUUGUCCGGAAUUACUGGGCGUAAAGAGCUCGUAGGUGGUUUGUCGCGAUUGUCCGUGAAAACUCACAACUCAAUUGUGGGCGUGCGGGCGAUACGGGCAGACUGGAGUACUGCAGGGGGAGACGUGAAUUCCUGGUGUAGCGGUGGAAUGCGCAGAUAUCAGGAGGAACACCUGCGGCGAAGGCGGGUUGCUGGGCUGAUACUGACGCUGAGGCGCGAAAGCCAGGGGAGCGAACGGG